Molecule: ribosomal RNA, 1471 nt
Filed under: uncultured bacterium
Lineage: Bacteria
Description: bacterial SSU rRNA
Rfam family: Bacterial small subunit ribosomal RNA
Source: RNAcentral
UAGAGUUUGAUCAUGGCUCAGGAUGAACGCUGGCGGCGUGCCUAAUACAUGCAAGUCGAGCGAACCACUUCGGUGGGAAGCGGCGAACGGGUGAGUAACACGUAGGUGAUCUGCCCAUCAGACGGGGACAACGAUUGGAAACGAUCGCUAAUACCGGAUAGGACGAAAGUUUAAAGAUGCUCCUGGCAUCACUGAUGGAUGAGCCUGCGGCGCAUUAGCUAGUUGGUGGGGUAAAGGCCUACCAAGGCGACGAUGCGUAGCCGACCUGAGAGGGUGAACGGCCACACUGGGACUGAGACACGGCCCAGACUCCUACGGGAGGCAGCAGUGAGGAAUAUUGGUCAAUGGGCGCGAGCCUGAACCAGCCAAGUCGCGUGAGGGAAGACGGUCCUAUGGAUUGUAAACCUCUUUUGUCGGGGAGCAAAAGACGCCACGUGUGGCGUUCCGAGAGUACCCGAAGAAAAAGCAUCGGCUAACUCCGUGCCAGCAGCCGCGGUAAUACGGAGGAUGCGAGCGUUAUCCGGAUUUAUUGGGUUUAAAGGGUGCGCAGGCGGAAGAUCAAGUCAGCGGUAAAAUUGAGAGGCUCAACCUCUUCGAGCCGUUGAAACUGGUUUUCUUGAGUGAGCGAGAAGUAUGCGGAAUGCGUGGUGUAGCGGUGAAAUGCAUAGAUAUCACGCAGAACUCCGAUUGCGAAGGCAGCAUACCGGCGCUCAACUGACGCUCAUGCACGAAAGUGUGGGUAUCGAACAGGAUUAGAUACCCUGGUAGUCCACACAGUAAACGAUGAAUACUAAUUGUUCGGGGAGAAUGAUCCCUGAGUGAUACAGCGAAAGCGUUAAGUAUUCCACCUGGGGAGUACGCCGGCAACGGUGAAACUCAAAGGAAUUGACGGGGGCCCGCACAAGCGGAGGAACAUGUGGUUUAAUUCGAUGAUACACGAGGAACCUUACCCGGGCUCAAACGACACAGGAAUACUUUUGAAAGGAGGUAGCUCUACGGAGUCUGUGUCGAGGUGCUGCAUGGUUGUCGUCAGCUCGUGCCGUGAGGUGUCGGCUUAAGUGCCAUAACGAGCGCAACCCCCAUCGCCAGUUGCUAACAGGUCAGGCUGAGGACUCUGUCGAGACUGCCGGCGCAAGCUGCGAGGAAGGCGGGGAUGACGUCAAAUCAGCACGGCCCUUACGUCCGGGGCGACACACGUGUUACAAUGGCAGGUACAGCGGGAAGCCACCUGGCGACAGGGAGCGGAACCCGAAAGCCUGUCUCAGUUCGGAUUGGAGUCUGCAACCCGACUCCAUGAAGCUGGAUUCGCUAGUAAUCGCGCAUCAGCCACGGCGCGGUGAAUACGUUCCCGGGCCUUGUACACACCGCCCGUCAAGCCAUGGAAGCCGGGGGUGCCUGAAGUGCGCUGCCGCGAGGAGCGCCCUAGGGUAAAACCGGUGACUGGGGCUAAGUCGUAACAAGGUAACCGUAA